Molecule: long non-coding RNA, 642 nt
Filed under: Hordeum vulgare
Lineage: Eukaryota; Viridiplantae; Streptophyta; Magnoliopsida; Poales; Poaceae
Description: long non-coding RNA (HVUL_LNC012108)
Source: RNAcentral
GUUGAAUGUGAACACGAACAAGUUCUCACCCACCUCCUUGCAUUCGAUGCCUUUGAUCGGACACCACACUCGCCCCAAGGACAGCCGGAUCGCAUCGGGGUGAGACAGCUUCUCCGACAUCACUUUCCCUACCGCCUGCGCCACCAGGGUCUUCCCCCGCUCCUUCACCUGCACCCUGAUCUUGACUCCUCGUCGUUCUUUCUCCGUCAACCACAACCCCCGCAUCAUCCCAUCAACCGCCUCCAUCUCCCACCGCUCCUCACCGGUCUGACCAGAAUAAGGGUUUAUGGUGGUGUACGACCAUGCGACCCCAGGCACACAGAAGGCUGUGAGGUGGAUGGGAUCGACUCUCAAUGGGGCGUGGAUGGCAAACUCUGCGUCGAAGAUCGGAGAUCCCAACGCCGACCUAACCAGGACGAGCCCGCACUAGAACCGUGAUCGCCUCCGUGAUCUUCGGAGCAUCAUGAUCACCUCGGUGAUCUUCGGAUUCAUUUUUUGAUUCAGAAAAAAGUGGCGUGUAAUUUUUAGGGAACUAGAAGUUCAUACUCCCUCCGUCCGAUAAAACCUAUUGCCAUGCUUUUUUACGAAAACCCCCUCGAAGAAACGCAAACCGAACCUGUAGUCCCUCAUCCCCUUCGCCAG